CCAUGCUUUCAAAGAACUCAAGGAUGUUUUCACGGGGACCUUGGUACACAAUCUGACCCUCACAUAGUAAGAUAAUGGCAUCAAAAAGAUCAUAAGUUUCAGGUGCGGGUUGGAGAAGAGAGAUUAUCAUGGUUACUUCCAUGAUAUGAACCAUCUGCCUCAUAAACUUAACAAUCUGAAAAGUGGUGGAACUGUCCAGACCAGUUGAUAUUUCAUCCAUGAAAAGAGCCUUUGCUGGUCUAACCAACAUUUCUCCUGCAUUCAGUUUCAUCAGUCGUAUUAGGCUUUUGUCCAGUGUUAAAAAUCUUAAGAACAGGGACUCCUCAGAAAGCAGACAAUUCAUAAUUGAUCGGUAGCUCAAUUCAAAUUGAAGGCAAAUGCUUUACCACUAAGUUGGAAGAAACAAUUGAUAUAGGACAUAAUCAAUGGAAAUGGGGCACAUACCAGUAGUAACACGCUUCUUUUCUCCACCAGAAAUGCCCCUUCUCAUAUCGUCUCCCACCAUAAUGUCAGCGCAGAUAUCUAAUCCCAGCAUCUGUUACACAGACAAUGUUAAAGAGCGUAAAGCUUGGGAAUGUAACUAAUAGGUCAGGCACCAAAUGGAAACGGAGCUACAAACCUUGAGCACGUAAUCUGUAACCAAAUUAGUUUCUGUUGCUCUCAUGAACGCAUCUAUCUCAGGAUCUGGCUUAAUUCCAGCUUCUUUUUCUCGUCUUGACAAUUCUGCAAGUAGUUCAUAUCUGGUUCCAACCCCCAAACAUCGUCCUGAGAAGUCCAACGUUUCCCUAACUGUCAUCUCACCAUGGUGCAGAUCAUGCUGGCCAAUGUAAGCACAUGUUCUCUGAGGAACAAACUCUGAUGAUUCAUGACCACAGUAUGUGAUUCUUCCUUCCAUCUGUCCAUAAACACCGUACACAACAGAGCUACUAGUUCAGGAAUCGGGACUAUCACCAUCACUAAAUAAUUCAAAAUUCAGGAACAGUCUGAGGACAUGGGCUGAAACUUGGGAAGGAAAUAAUAAUGACACAGUGAAGGAUCGAAUUGGAUAAAAAUAUUUGUCAGAAUGUAAGUUGUGGGGGACAACAUACCCUUAGAUCUUUGUUCAUCUUCCCAGCAAGCGCCUGUAGCAGGGUAGUUUUUCCUGAGGCUGGAGGUCCCAGAAGCAGAGUCAUUCUGCAAAACACAGAAGCUAAUCAAGAAACCGGCAAAGAAAGGAAGUGUACUUAAUGGGAAAAUUUUUUGUUAUCCUAUUAAAAUUUCCCAGAAUAUGUAUCAAUCAAAUUAUAUAAAGACAUCAUUCAGGAGAUUUGUGUUAAGGGCAACAUGAUUGAUUGAAAGGUACUUCCAAAAAUGGAAUACAUUUACCUUGAUGGUUUCACGAUCCCACUCACAUCUUUUAGUAUCUUGACUACCCUUUUCUUAGAUGGGGAAAGCCUAAUCAGUCCAAGUAUUCCCUGUUCAUGACAACAAAUAAACACAAUCAUAAUUCAUUCAUCUCUACAAAUUCCAACAGUCUACUGAAUUGAAGCAAACUUCUCCCAAAAACAUUAUCAGGAGAUUGAAGUCAUUCAUCAUAAUUUGCUGAAAGGGAAAAUCAAGAAUCACCAUCGAAAACAGAAGAAGAAAAACAAAGGGACAAACAGAACAAACCACCUCUAUGAAGUUCAUGGUAGAAUUGAUCAGAGUAGGAAGUGCCCUGGUUCCAACAUAUGCGUCUCCUUCUAUUGAUAAAUGCUCAAACCGGACUUCGAUUUUUGGAAUCUCAACCCCAACCCUGUUGAGAAAACAGAUGUUACGUUCCAUAAAACUUUUCUGGUAACAAAUUCAACUGGGGCAAAGCCAAAAGCAAAAAAACACAUGACUAACAGGGUGAACUUCAUGGGAAGAAAGAGAGAAGAGUGACCUAUCAGUCCUUUCCCUGAGCCUGAGAAGGAACUUCUCAUUAUCUUCUUCAACAACCUUUGGUAUACUCUCUAUGUGAUGCUUCCUCUCCUGCAUACCAAGAUUGGUGAAGUCAACUUCCUCAUGGACAACCUUCCCAUCAUCCAAAACUUGCUUAGGCAUCUCCUUGCUCAACCGCUCAAAGGUUGGAAGCCUUUCAAUGGCCGCCCACUUCAAUUCUUCCUCAUCAUCCUCUCUCCUACUCCUCUGAAAAACAUCACCUUGAGCUGACAACGCCUCACAAAUACUCGCAGAAGCCCAACUACGCCUACUUCCAGACGAUGAACUUUUACGCCUGCUGCUCAUGGAACUUGCUAGAUCAUCCUCAGCCAAUGAUGCAGCCAUUGUCCCCCACCAAAACCCCUCAGAGUAAAGACUCCAAACCCCACUUUAUAAUAACCCUGGAAAGCUGAGAUUCAACCGGUAAGCUAGCUCAACACGCUAGAGAAGGUUUCGAUGGAAUGGUGAUGGAGUGUUCGCCUGUUAGUUUAGGAGAGUUGGCGGCGGAAACCCCUCAGAAUAAAGACUCCAAACCCCCUUUAUAAUAACCCUGGAAAGCUGAGAUUCAACCGGUAAGCAACACGCUCGAGAAGGUGUCAAUGGUGUCGGAGUGAUCGCCCGCUAGUUUAGGAGAGUUGGCGGCGGCGGUAGUCACUGCCUGCGUGGAGCCGUUGUUUGUUUUAAAGUCACAUCAUAAAAAAUUGCCUUACAUGUAAAAUUCUUUUAUCAAAAAUAAAAACUAAAAUAGAAAAUUUGCCACCUCUACAAAAAAAAUAUAAAUUUAAUUUUUCCAAAACAAAAUUAUCAUUUGUCAUUAAUUACUAAUAAUAUAUUAAGAUUGAACGAAAAUUAAAAAAUAAAAUAAAAUCUCAUUUAAUAUUUUUCGUAUUUAUUCCUUUUUAUACUCUUGUUUUAGGGUUGAUUUAGCUAAAUCGUAAAAAAUAAUACUUACUAAGUUUUUAUUAACUAUUUAUAUUUUUACUUGGAAGCAUGAAUAUAAUAUGAAUCCAUCAAAAUUUAGCUAUUAAGUUAUGGGUGUUUUAGUGAUGUAUCAUAUAAAAUAUAAAUUUUAAUUGAAAGACUUUACUUUCAACUAUCUUAUAUUUAAUUAUUUGAAAAAGAAUAAGAAUUAAGAUACUGAUUUUGUAUCUAUGAAAAUCUUAAUCUCCAUUUUUAAAAGUACAUAUAAAAAAUAAAAAUAAAAAUCUAAGUUUUUGAAUGUAAGUACAAAAAAUGAAAUCAAGUUGUAAAACACGAGACUUAACACACACGUCUUCUAUUUGAAAGAUAUCAAAAUUUAUAAUAGAAGUUAUUGAAUUUUUUUAAAAUAAUUUAAAAUGUUUUUGCUAUAAAAUGAUUAGAAUUAUUGAUCUAAUGAAUUUUUUUUCCUACUUUUUAAUUCUUUUAAACAUUUCCUUUAAAUAUUCUUGAUCAUUUUAUUUAUAUAAAGUCCAAAAAAAAUUUCAAGUGUACUUAUACCAUGGUUGUUUAAUUUAAUAUAUUUUUAUAAUUAAUAUUUAAAAUUAUUUACUUUUUAAUAAUAAUAUAAAAUAUCAUUAAUUACCUUAUAAUUUAUAAAUGAUAAUUACAAUAUAAUAUUCUUAGUGGAUGUCCUCGUGACAAAAGUCUUGGGUGGACAAGUAUAUUGCCUUUUAAAUUAUUUUACAAGUCUCGUUAUUUCCGCCCGGAUUUUUUUAUAAUUGUACCGUGAAUUUAAAAUUAAUUUUUUAAAAUACGGCACUAUGAAAACUAUUUCCAAAUCUACGGCAUUUUGUAUCACUUUUUAAAGGUAUCUCUUGAAAAGACAUUUUACAUCAUUUUUAUAUAAAUGAUACAUGUUCAAAAAAAUUGAAUUUACAUUGAAGGUAUCUCUUCAAGAGACACCUUCCACAAUUUUUAUAUCAAUAACACAUGUUAAAAAUUUUGAAUUUACAUUAAAAGUAUCUCUUUAAGAGACUUUUUUUAAUUUUAUAAAAUUAAAUUUAUAUUAAAAGUGUCUUUUAAAUAGUUAUUUUUCACGGUUUUCAUAUCAGUUGCAUAAUAAAAAAAUUGAAUUUAUACUAAAGAUGUCAGACACACUUUCUAAAAUUUCACAAAAUUAAAUUUAUAUUAAAAAUGUCUCUUGAAGAGACACCUUUAACAAUUUUUGCAUCAAUCAUCCAUUGAAAUAAUUGAAUUUAUAGGUUAUGUUUGGUUCCCGAAAAGUAUUAAGAAAAGAAAAAAAUUGCUUAAGAAAAUAAUUUUCUCAUGUUUGGUUGUCUUAUAGAAAAUAAUAAAGAAAAUAAUAUAUAAGUAAGAUUAAUUAAAAAUUUAUAUAUUUUCAAAUUAUUUAAUCUUUAUAUUGAAAAGUGAAAAUAAGUAAAAUGAGUUUGAAGUAGCAUGUAAAAAUAAUUUAUUGAUUUUAAAUCCAUUGUUAUUUUCCCUCAUUUUUUCUUUCAUUCUAUUUUCCUUUCUAUUUUCUUUCCCUUGUAUUUUCCUUUACAUUUUCCAGGAACCAAACAUAGCCUAAAAGUGUAUUUUCAAAAGACACAUUCCACAAUUCCAUAAAAUUAAAUUUAUAUUGAAAUGUUUUCCUUCAAGAAACACUUUUAGUAUAAAUUUAAUUUUUUUUUAUAGGUGACUAAUAUAAAAAUUGUAAAAAGUGUUUCUUUAAAAGACACAUUUAGUAUAAAUUCAAUUUUGUGAAAUUGUAUAGACUCCUUCAAUGUAAAUUUAUUUUUUUUCACUGUGUAAUUGAUAUGAAAAUUAUAAAAAAUGUCUCUUCUAGAGACAUCUUUAGUAUUAAUUUGAUUUUAUGGUAUUGUGGAAAUGAUAUUUUUUUAAUAUAAAUUUAAUUUUUUUUUAAUAUAUAUGACUAAUAAAAAAAUUAUGGAAAAGUGUCUUUGGAAGAGACACUUUAACAUAUAUUCAAUUUUAUGGAAUUAUGGAAUGUAUCUUUUCAAGAGACUCCUUUUGUGUAAAUUUAAUUUAAUUUUUUUUAACAUUUAUGGUUGAUAUAAAAAAUAUAGAAGAUGUCUUUUCAAAAAAUAUAUUUCAAAAUGACAAAAAAAUAUAGUAGAUUUGGAAUUAUUUUUUAAAGUACUAUUUUUUAAGAAUUAUUUUUUUAAAUAGCCGUACAAGUUUAAAAAGCCCGUCCAGGGCUGAGAACUGGAAAAAGGAAGACGGUCCGACACACUUGAUAAAAGGAGACAAGACUUUGGUCAUGUAAUUCCAAAUCUAUCGAAGGAAAAGGUAUUAAUUUGAAAGAAAUCCUAAUCAUUGACUCGGCUUCCACAUGUAUUUCUACCAUCAUCCGACCACUCAAAUUGGUUUUUUUAUAUUUAUGAUUUUCAUUGAUUUCUGUCCAACCCAAACCUAUCGAAUUAAAAGAGGAAAAGGUAUAUAUUGAUUAAAAAGAUUGGAAAGAAGUACUAAUCAUUGACUGAUAGGCUUCUUCACCAUCUAUAACAAAAGAAAUAUUUGGUUAAAAGGAUGAAAUAAUUCUCAAAAUUAAAAAUCUAACCCUUUUCAUAUUUUUUUUGAAAAAAUAAUUCAUUUUUUAUAUAAAUAUUAUUUUCUAUUUUAAGUAUUUAUAUGUAGGUUUUAAAAGAAACGGUUGUUUUUACAAGAAAAUAAUGAGAAUAUUUUUGUCCAAAUGAUACCAAAAAAUGGGUGAGAGGUUAAAUUUCAAAAGUUGGAUUUUGAGAGGCCCUUUUAAUCAAAUAACCCUUUACAAAAAUUCCUUUUCAGGUCACUCUAAUUAAGGAAAUAGACUUUUGUUUUAAAAAAACCUUUUUUGGGCAUUUUAUUAAAAAUUAACUUUUUGGACAAUUUUAUUCACAAAACGAUUUUUUAAAUCAUUUUUAUUAAAUAAAUAAUUUUUUUUUUGUUUUUUUAGGACAAUUAUUAUUAAAAACAAUUUUUUGAAAUUUUGGAUUUUUGGAUAUUCAAUUCUGUACCCAAUGAGUAAACAUAUAUAAAUGAAUAUUUACGAAUCAAUAGGAAUAAAACAAAAUCUUAACAAUGAAAUGAGUCCAUGUAAAAACAAAAAUAAACCAAAAUAAAUAUUCAAAAAUAUACAAAGUCUAAAAUUAAACUUUAAAUUAAUCCAAUAAAUUUCACCAAUUAAAAUAGAUUUAAAUUGAUAAAUAAAACCCAAUAAAAACAUCCCACAUAUUAUUAGUCUUAAUCCCAGAUCUGCAAAUUAAUCACCAAAACACAAACAUAAUCAUGAAAAUUUACUAAAAAUACCAAAAAUCUUCUCUUUGGUUCUAAUACUUAUUUUGAAAACCAUUUUUAAUUAUAAAUUUCCUCUGCAAAGUGGAUGGAGAUAUUGGCCUUAUAUCUCCUUUUUCAUUCCUCUCUAUUGUUCCUGAUCUGCACCAUUGUUGGAUCUGUUAAAAUCUGGAGAAAAAUAAGGAACUAAAACUUGUAGAAAAUAUUAGAGUAUUGAGUUGGAGAAAGGCACACAAUAUUUCACCAAUGAGAAUGCCUAUUUAUAGGCUUACAACCAAACUGAAAAUGCUAAAAACUCUCAGCUGCUAUGACUACUUCUACUAACAGAAAAACUGAAAAUUAUGGAGCAAAACUGAGUCUAACUAAGACAUUUUCAAAGGCAAACUCUCAUGAAUUCUAACACUCCUCCUUGAGAUUUGCCUUGGACAUACCAAGCUUCAACCUUAGGAACUCCAGCCUUGAUUUAGGAAGUCCUUUAGUCAUUAUGUUAGCAAGUUGCUCAUCAGUUGAGCAAUAAUGCAGCUUAACAAGUGAAUUCUUUUCAGCUUCCCUUAUGGAGUGGAAUUUUACAUUUAUGUGCUUGGUUCUGCCAUGUUGGACAGGAUUUUGAGUACUGGAAAUGGCUGACUUAUUGUCAUAGUAAAGCUCAGUUGGUGAGCUUUGUUCCUGGCCUAAAUCAGUAAGCAAUUUUCUCAACCAUAUUACUUGAUUUGCAGCAGCUGCUAAGGAGAUAUACUCAGCUUCUGUAGUUGAUUGUGCCACUACUUCUUGCUUUCUUGAAUUCCAGCAUAUGACACCUGAACUGAUUGUAAAUACAUAACCUGAAGUGCUCUUCAUAUCAUCAACACUUCCUGCCCAAUCACUAUCAGCAUAACCAUCUAGCUUAACUCCUCCUGUCUUUAAAUACCAAAUGCCAAGAUUUGUUGUACCUUUAACAUACUUUAGCACCCUCUUUGCAACUCCCAUGUGAACAUUUCUAGGUGAACUCAAGAACCUUGAAAGCAAACUAGCUGGAAACAUCAAGUCAGGUCUGGUUACUGUCAAGUAUAGUAGGCUUCCCACCAAGCUUCUAUAUGCAGAGGGUUCCUCAAGUUUCUCACCAUCAUUCUUUGAAAUUUUCUCAUUUUGUGCCAACGGAGUUGCUACUUCUUUGCAUGAUUCUAGCUUGAAUUUCUUGAGAAUAUCCAUAGCAUAUUUUCUUUGUGAAAUGAAGAUACACCAGCUGCAUUGGUAUAUUUCCAUUCCAAGGAAGUAGUUCAUGAUGCCAAGGUCAGACAUCUCAAAUGCAUCAUGCAUUUCCAUUUUGAAAUCAGCUAGCAAUUUUACAUUGCUUCCAGUCACUAGCAUGUCAUCAACAUAAAGUGAUACUACCAGUUGCAAACCAUCAUCAUUUUGUUUCAAAUACAAAGUAGCUUCAUUUUCACUCCUCCUAAAUCCAAGUUGGAUCAGAUGAGAAUCAAUUAUGCUAUACCAGGCCCUUGGUGCUUGCUUCAAACCAUAGAGAGCCUUAUGUAGCUUGUACACUUUAUGUUCAUGGCCAAUAACCUCAAAGCCUUUUGGUUGUUGAACAUAAAUUUCUUCAAGAAGUAUACCAUUUAGAAAAGUUGACUUGACAUCUAAAUGGUAUACUUUCCAUCCCAUUUGACCAGCAAGUGCAAGUAGUAGCCUUAUAGUGUCAUGUCUGGCUACUGGUGCAAAUGUAUCACCAUAGUCCACUCCAGCAACUUGAGCAAAACCCUUCACAACCAAUCUAGCCUUAUGCCUGAAGAUUGAACCAUCUGAAUUAAAUUUGGUUCUAAAAACCCAUUUUACACCAAUUACAUUCUUAACUUCAGGUAGUUCUGUCAACUUCCAGGUUCCAUUUCUUUCAAUAGCAUCAAUUUCAGCUUUCAUGACCUCAAUCCAUUCUAGAAAUCUUGCAGCUUCCGUGUAACAUGUAGGCUCAGCAUGUACAAGAUUGCACCUCUCAUACACAUCAGAUAAUGGCCUCAUCUUAAGCACAAGUGUGUCUGAAGUUGCUUCAACAUCAAGUGGACCUUCAAUGAUUAUACUUUCUAUUGCUGGUUCAAGAAUAGAUGGAGUGGUUUGAUCACAUUUAUGAACUUUCUUCAAGUCCCAAUUCCAGUAGGAGUUUUCAUCAAAGUCCACAUCUCUACUUAUCACGAUUUUCAUUCUACUCAAGCUAUAAAUUCUGUAACCUUUUGAUUCAGCUGCAUACCCAACAAAAACACCUUUCUCAGCUCUUUCAUCAAGCUUCCCUCUCUUGACAGAUGGCACAUGAAGAUAACAAAAUGAACCAAAAACUUUCAGGUGCUUGAUAGAAGGUUUUACACCAGACCAUGCCUCUAUUGGUGUUUUGCUCUAAACAGACUUAGUUGGUAGUCUGUUAAGCAAAUAUACUGAGGUGUUGACUGCUUCAGCCCAUAGAAGUUUUGGUAGCUUCUUCUCGAAUAGCAUGCACCUUGCCAUCUCCAUCACGGUUCUGUUCUUCCUCUCAAAGACUCCAUUCUGUUGUGGUGAGUAUGGAGCUAUUAGUUGGUGUACAAUUCCAGCUUCUUGACAAAAGACAUUUAACUCUUUUGAGAUAUACUCACCUCCAUUAUCAGUUCUAAGCACCUUAACGUUCUGGCCACUUUGAGUUUCAACCAUUUUCUUGAAGCUUUUGAACACAGAGAGCACUUGUGACUUGGUUUUUAGAAAAUAAACCCAAGUCAUUCUACUGAGAUCAUCAAUAAAUAAUGCAAAAUACACAUUGUUGCUCAAUGAGGCUGUGCUCAUUGGUCCACAAAUAUCUGAAUUAAUUAAUUCCAGCUUGUGAGUAGCUUUCUUGGACAUAUUUUGAGGGAAUGGUUGUCGUUGUUGCUUCCCUAGCUCACAACUUUCACAAGUUUGAGCAUUAACUGAGAUUUCAGGCAUGUCUUCAACCAUACCAGCUUCUUGCAUGAACCUCAGUGACUUCAAGUUGAAAUGACCAUAUCUUUUGUGCCAAACAACACUCUCAUCAAUCUUGGCACUAAAGACAUGACCUUCAACUAAAUCAAGCUUCAAAUAAAAGUUAUUUCCAUUCAUUUUAAUUUUUGCUAUCUCUUUUCCAUGUACAUUAGUGAUAAAACAAAAAUUUCCUUUGAAAAAGACUGCAUAUCCAUUUCUUAGCAUUUGUGCAACACUAAGAAGAUUCUGAUCUAAAUCUGGAAUGUAAAGAACAUUAGUGACAAUUUUUGUACGUCUCUUGGUGCUGAUAGCAAUUGUCCCUUUUCCUUUGGCCUGCACAACUUCACCGUUUCCCAACUUGACCUUUGGUUGAACUGAUCUAUCAAUGGAGGUAAAUAUUGACAGAUAUUUGGUCAUGUGACUCGUGCAGCCACUGUCAAUGAGCCAAGUAUUCAGUUCAUGAGAACUCAGUUCAUGAGAACUGAGUGCUUGUGAUGCCAUAAAUAAAUGCUCAUCAUCAUUUUUGUCUUCUUCAGUCACAUUUGCAUUUUGUUUUGGUUGUUGUUGAGAUUGUUUUUUCUUGGCUCUGCAAUACUUCUCACUGUGGCCAAGUUUAUUGCAGAAAUUACAAUUAAAGAGAGGUUUACCUUUGUGCCAACAAUCUUUCUCAGCAUGGUUGGUUCUUCUACAAUGAGAGCAAGACGGAAAUUUUCCUUUUCUUGAAGACCCUUCAGCUUUCUCUUUGUUGUUCUUGAAGAACUUCUUUCCUUGCAAGUUUCCAGAAUUCUUUCCCUCGUGAUUUGCUUGAAAAGCACCUUCAGUAGCUUCAUCACCUCUCAUUAAGACCCUUUGCUCUUGUGCAUGAAGCUUGCUGGUUAACUCUACAAUUGUGAGAGUUUGCAAGUCACAAGACUCUUCAAUUGCAGAAAUCUUGGCUUCAAACUUUUGAGGCACUAAAACCAUGAUCUUUUCUACCACCUUUUGAUCUGUAAAUGCCUCACCAAGAAGUCGUAUUUGGUUUACAACAUCCAUUAACCUGCCAGAAUAAUCUUUGACAAAUUCAUCGUCUUUCAUCUUCAUCAACUCAAACUCUCUCUUCAAUUUGAGGAGUCUAACAGUUUUGAAUCUUUCACUGCCCUCAAAUUCACCUUGGAGCUUGUCCCAUACUAGUUUAGGUGUUUCCAAGUUCAUGAUUUUGGUGAAGAUGUGGUCUGUAAGUCCUGAAUGUAGGCAGGUGAUGGCUUUGUCUUUCUUGAGUUUUUCUUCCUCAUAUGCUUUCAUCUGAGCAACUGUAGGAUUUGCUCCCAAUGGUGGUGGAUCAGCUUCAGACAUCACAACAUUCCACAAACCUUGAGACCUUAAAUAAAACCUCAUCUUGACAGCCCAAAUGUGAUAGUGUUCACCAUUAAACACUGAAAUUACAGAGGAAGUAUUGCUAGAAGGAGACAUGUUUGCACCACAGUUGCUUAAAAAAAAAUAGAUCACUCAACCUCACUAGUGUUUGCACUCAACCUCAUUGUGUUUAAUACUAAAAAAAAAACUUUGCCUCAUAGCCCGUAGGAAUAAUGCUCUGAUACCACUGUUAAAAUCUGGAGAAAAAUAAGGAACUAAAACUUGCAGAAAAUAUUAGAGUAUUGAGUUGGAGAAAGGCACACAAUAUUUCACCAAUGAGAAUGCCUAUUUAUAGGCUUACAACCAAACUGAAAAUGCUAAAAACCUCAGCUGCUAUGACUACUUCUACUAACAGAAAAACUGAAAAUUUUGGAGCAAAACAGAGACUGAGUCUAACUAAGACAUUUUCAAAGGCAAACUCUCAUGAAUUCUAACAGGAUCCUCAUGAUCUAUUUCCACCAAGUCCCACAAGUCACAUGCUUGCAGGUACGACUCCAUUUUCACAUCCCAUAUUUGGUAAUUUUCACCUGUGAAAACUGGAGGUGCAGACAAAAAUCUAUUUCUGCCAUAUCGGGUUUCAAGAGGAAGGAUGGGUUUUGAUUUGUUGUGGUUUAUAUCUCACUUGAUACACUCUCACACUACACAGGUCCCAAGUCAAAUAUGAAUUCAAAAAAUUCAAACUAAACUACAAACUGUUCCUCUAUCUUGUAGAAUACUCUCAACAGAAUACCAGCUUAAAUCCUGCAGCAAAUAUAGCACUUGUCAUCACUAACUUUUGGUUAAAUAAUCAUAUUGAGUCGGUUUACAACUGAAUUUAUUUGGAGGGAAUGCAAUGCAUAUCAAAAAUAAAUACAAGGCAGCCACUUCUCAUUUUGUCAAAUGUAAAUCACUCAUACUUGUGUAUGCAAAUGAAAAAGAAACAAUCAUUUUCUGAGACUUUCCUUUACCUCCUUUGGAAGUUAAGGAACUUAAUGCCAUAGGCAAAGACAAACAAGAAGAGGAGGACCCAACCAAUAUGAGCCAAGGCAACCGCUCCCAAGAAAUCAUAUUCAAAGCCUGAAGCCUCCUUAAGAUACAGCUUCACUGACUUCACACCUGCUCCAGGUACCUGAACCGGAUCCUCCUUGUUGCCCACCUGAGAUGUCACCAGUCCGUAGAUGGUCCAAGCAACAGGGGAAGCCCAGUAGUACCACCUCCACCAUAUCGGUAUUUGCUGCAGAUGUACAGUUUGUUAGAAUUCAAUAUUCUUCUACAAAAACAUACUCAAAUUCUUCGUAGGCAUACACACCAUCCUAGGGAUGAGAAAACCAGAGAAGAGAUUCCAAAAGCUUAGGAAGAAGGACAUAACAAUGGCAGCAAUUUGAUGGCUGGGAGUGAGUGCUACGAUCAUCAUUCCAUACAAUGUGAAGUAAAUAAAGCACAUGAGUAGGUAGUAGUAGAACCAUAAGAACUUAUCCACUCGCCAGUAGAAUCCCAUCAUAGAGUAGAGGAGAAGACUGUAAACCAAAGUUUGGAUUGCAACGUAAAUUGUCUCUAUGACCACCUGCAGGGCAUCCGAAUACAGAUUAGUUUAAAGUUAAGCUCUACUAGAAAUGUGUCUGUUUCUUGUCAGUUUUCUCAAAAGGCAACCUGGGCAAAUGCGUAAGGCAAUGCUGAAUACAUCCCAGCUGCCCUUUCGCGGUAGAAGACUGUUCUCUCAAUUGCCACAACAGGCUGCACUGCAGCAGUGUUGGUGGCUCCAAGGAAGAAGACAGCUGAAAACAUAGCUCCCAGCAGAUUUAGUAGGUCUUGCUCUUUGUCUCUGCAUACAAUAGUUGGGGUGUUGGUUCACAUUUUUUCUUAAUUAUUAAUGGAGAAACACCAAAAUAAUAAAUUUGCAAUACUUACAUCUGCUCUCCUUUGUUCCAGAAAAUUACUCCAAAUAGAACACCAAUAAUUAUGGUCAAGAAGAACCGGAUAGCAUUAUAGGGAGGAUUCCUCCAAUAAGACCAGUGCUGUUUCCAGAAGCAAGCCUUGCAUUGAGUAAAAAAGCUUUGAGAGUAUUUGGUGGGGAAAUAAAGGUUUUUGGAUCCUGGUGAUGGUGUGCUCAGCUCUUUGAUGAGUUCCUGAUUCCUCCUGCAACAAAAGGGGGAGUGCAAUAAAUCAUCGGAAAAAGAAUUGAGACAGAAAGAUGAUGUUCCAAGGAAUCAUAAACCACUUACUGAUAGAGUUCAGAUUUAGCAUAAAUUUCCGCAAAAUCCACACCAAGUUGAGCCUCAUAUGCAGCAGAGGUGACCUCCAGCAUCCAUGUAGCAGGAUUUUGACCAUCUCUGACUUUAGGAACCCCCGGGACAGCCUGCAGCAAGUUAUGGAUUUGAUCAUGACACACUCCUUAUAAGUAUAACAAUGGAGAUGGAGCAAGUUCACUGAAGAUGAAUAAUGCUCACUUCAAAGUACUCUACAAGCUUGUGAGAAUUGCGACCAAGAGGUCCAGCAUAAAUGACUUGUCCUCCUCUCUUCAUCAGCAGUAGCUGCAGGCAAAAAUGAUGUUGGGUUGAAGAAAGGAAUGGUGACUCCAUGACAAUCAUACCAGUAAGAAGUAUUAGAUACAAAACCAUGAAACUAAGAAAUACCUCAUCGAAUGCUUCAAAGAUGUCUAUGCUUGGCUGGUGAAUGGUGCAGACAACAGUCCGCCCUGUAUCCACUGUGUUUCUAACAGUACACAUAACAACGGCAGCUGCUCUAGCAUCAAGGCCUGUCGUUGGCUCAUCCAUGAAGAGGAUGGAGGGGUUAGCAACCAAUUCUACUGCUACUGUCAGCCUCUUCCUCUGUUCUGUUGAAAGCCCAUGUAUUCCUGGAAGGCCAACCAAAGCAUCCCUCAGGGGGUGAAGCUCAAUCAAAUCCAUUACUUCCUCAACAAACACCUAUGCCACAGAAGGAACAAAAAAACAACUGAUGAAUAUAGCUUAUAAAAGGGUGAACUAAAAGAAAAAUCAUUCAUUUGAAAAAAGGACAUGCCUGCCUUGUUUCCUUCUUGACAUCCGGAGCAAGGCGCAGCCAGGCAGAGUAAACAAGAGAUUCAUAAACAGUUACAUUUGGAGAAUGUAUAUCAUUCUGCUCACAGUAACCACUAAUACGAGGGAAAGUUGCUUGGUCUUUGGGGUAACCAGAAACGCUGAUACUUCCUUCAAUGUACCCACCAGUUUUCCUUCCUGCUAACACAUCCAUCAAAGUGGUCUUUCCAGCACCACUAACACCAACUAAUGCCAUUAGAAUACCUGGCCUGAAAGCACCGCUAGCAUCCCGCAGCAGUUGGAGACGAUCCACUUCAAUUCCUUGGCUCUUCAUUCCCUGUGAUUCAAUCCAUAAAAGAGUUUCAAAGCUCUAGACCAAGAUCAUAUCCUAACACAUAUAUUAGUCUCACUUGUGUGUCUAAAUACUCAAAACAAGUUACUUACAGCAGGCAUAUCAACAUAGUAAUUCACAUGCUCAAAUGCAAGUGAUAAGGGCUGGAAGGGCAACACCAUUCCCCUUUUAGUAGGUGCAUGAUUUGCAUCUUUGACAACUGAUUUGGUGUUUUCUCUAGUGUUCCUUACUUCCAUAUCAAUACCUGUUACCAUAGGCCUACUAUCAACUUCCAGAUAAAGAAAAUCUGAUGUUUAUGUUAUUUGUAAUGUCUAGUAUCACUAGGCUCUUCAAGAAGUGAUUAACAAGAAUUUUGUGAGGGUCAGGUAAAAAGCUGGUGUCUCCUAGAGAAGGAGAACCAAUAGCAAGAAGCAAGUUUUAUGCAAUAUAAUUUCUCAAGAGCAAGUUCAGAAAUUGUAGAACCAUACAAUAAUAGUUGAUGAAACAUUAUUAAUAGCAACAUCUUCUCCUCUCUGCAAAGGGAAAUUUGAUUUUAGGCUAUCAUGCUACUGGUUUUUGGCAUUGAUAAACCACUCAGUUUAUUGAAAAUGAACACCAUAAGGUGGCAAUCAGAGGAGAUUUGAUUCAAUGGAAAAACUAGAUAUUAACUGCUUGGUUAAUAAAAUAUAUAGAAACGCUAGAAGACAAACAAACAACCAAAAACCAGAGGAGAUCAAAGUAGGUAAAAUCUUGAACCUUCAGACAUUGGGGCAGUAGAUGCUGAAUUUCUUUCUGGGGUGGUCAGAUCAUGCUGCUUGUUAGAGUAAAACUGCUUCUCACUCUUUUCUUCAUCAUCCUCAUCAAUAAUGACAGAUUUUGAGUCACCCGGAGCUGCAUUUGAGUUUCAGAAAAUUGUCAAAACCAGAAUCUUAUUUAAAUAACACUCAGUUCUGACUGAUGGAUGAUAAUUCCAUGACUAAAACCAUUGGAGGGAAGGAAAAAGGAAAAUGGAGGUUAGUAUAAGCAAUAACUAACGGUUCAAAUAUGUCAGAGCUGCAAUGAAACAGAUAUUGAAGAGCAGAGAAAACCCCGUGAGUGCACCAAUACAAAUCCAAUACCAAUAGCCAUCCACAAACAUGCCUCUUGCCUUGAGAAGGGCUUUUCCAACUGUGGGUUCUGGAAUUCUUCUAUCGAUGUUGGGCUGUGCCAAAAACCGAUUAGCGUAUACAAAGACAGACCAAGUAAUGAAGGCAGAAAUGCCCAAGCUUAAAACAAAGUGAGAAACAAUCAUUCAAAAGCUACUAGGAAACCUUACCGCACUCCAUCUGUCAUCAAGAAAUUCAUUGAUGACAAGCGCAUUUUGUCCAUACAUCAUUGGAGAAGCAUAAUAUCCCCAUAUCAUCCAUGGUUCAAUAUCAUCUGAGGAAGAAGAAGAAACAAAUGGUUUAUUAAAUUAUCACUCAUAUGAUAUAAUCACAUGAAGAGUGCCCCUCGAUCUCCCUUUCCAUUUGAAAUAUGGCAUCAGUGUUGCAAAAACAAUCAGCUCAGUCCAUAGCAAAAAGACACAAAACACUGACCUUUGGCUACAAUGAAUCCACCCAGAACAAAAACCAGUAGCAAUGUAAAGGUACCAAGAGUGUUGGCCACAAUCUGUGUUCUUCCAAGAGCUGCAAUGAAGCGGAAGAGAGAUAGAGCCAUCUGAUGCACGCCAAAGAAUGCCAGUAAUUGACGGAAAAACCUGAACAUUUUUCAAGUCUUGGGUUGUCAUAGUUCCAUUUGUGAAUGCUAAGACAAGAUUCAGGAAGAAUGGAGGUCCAUUCACAUACCUACUAGCAGAAGGGGCAAACCCAAUAGUGUAAUACGUGAGAAUGAUCCAUAUCCCUGACUCCGUGAAUGACAAGGGGAUCCUAAGGACCCAAAUUGGUAAUGCAAAAGCCCAUGCCGGGUAAAACAAGAAAUCCCUCUGCUUAAAAAACACUGGGAGCCUGAAAAGAGUCAAUGCAAGCUCUGCCAUUCCGUUAAACAUUACAUUUAUGAGACUAUAAAACAGAGCCCCAUAGAAUUUUACUCCAUUUUGCAGUUGGCCAUGCUUCAUUUCUGUUCUGAAGAACACUGUCAUGGCAAUUACUGACAUGAUUGUAAUCUGGGUUGUCUUGAAUAUGUAUAUAAAAGAGUUGCGCUUCAUCAAUAGCCACUCCCUGGCAAAGCAUGCCUUGAAGAGUUCCCAGUUGGAGAUUCCAUACUUUUCUGUCACCAAUGCUGUAGGAUGGGUUCUGCUCUUAUUGUAAGGGAUUCCAAGGUCGUCUGAAAGCUUCUGGCCAAUAUGGAAAGAGUUGAAGUGUUGCACAAACUCGGGCACUGAGAUAUAUUUGUAAGGUUUAUUGUUUCUGAACCAGUAUUGUUCCUGGUCCUUUCUGGAAGUCACCUCUUGCAAGAAGUCUGCAACUCCUUUUCUUUUCGGGCAUUUGAAGCCCACGCUCUCAAAGAACCCAAGGAUGUUUUCACGGGGACCUUGGUACACAAUCUGACCCUCACAUAGUAAGAUAAUGGCAUCAAAAAGAUCAUAAGUUUCAGGUGCAGGUUGGAGAAGAGAGAUUAUCAUGGUUACUUCCAUGAUAUGAACCAUCUGCCUCAUAAACUUGACAAUCUGAAAAGUGGUGGAACUGUCCAGACCAGUUGAUAUUUCAUCCAUGAAAAGAGCCUUUGCUGGUCCAACCAACAUUUCUCCUGCAUUCAGUUUCAUCAGUCAUAUUAGGCUUUUGUGGAAUAUUAAAAAUCUUAAGAACAAGGAUUCCUCAGAAAUCAGACAAUUCAUAAUUGAUCAGUAGCUCAAUUCAAAUUGAAGGCAAAUGCUUUACCACUAAGUUGAAAGAAACAAUUGAUAUAGGACAUAAUCAAUGGAAAUGGGGCACAUACCGGUAGUAACACGCUUCUUUUCUCCACCAGAAAUGCCCCUUCUCAUAUCAUCUCCCAACACAAUGUCAGCGCAGAUGUCUAAUCCCAGCAUCUGUUACACACACAAUGUCAAAGAGCGUAAAGCUUGGGAAUGUAACUAAUAGGCCAGGCACCAAAUGGAAAUGGAGAUGCAAACCUUGAGCACAUAAUCUGUAACCAAACUAGUUUCUUGGCCUGCCAUUGCUGUUGCUUUCAUGAAUGCAUCUAUCUCAGGAUCUGGCUUAAUUCCAGCUUCUUUUUCUCGUCUUGACAAUUCUGCUAGUAGUUCAUAUCUGGUUCCAACUCCCAAACAUCGUCCUGAGAAGUCCAACGUUUCCCUAACUGUCAUCUCACCAUGGUGCAGAUCAUGCUGGCUAAUGUAAGCACAUGUUCUCUGAGGAACAAACUCUGAUAAUUCAUGACCACAGUAUGUGAUUUUUCCUUCCAUCUGUCCAUAAACACCGCACACAUCAGAGCAAUGAGUUCAGGAAUCAGGGACUAUCACCAUCACUAAAUAAUUCAUAUUGGGAAGGAAAUAACAAUGACACAGUGAAGGAUCGAAUUGGAUAAAAAUAUUUGUCAGAGUAACUUGGGGGGGCCAACAUACCCUUAGAUCUUUGUCCAUCUUCCCAGCAAGCGCCUGCAGCAGGGUAGUUUUCCCUGAGGCUGGAGGUCCCAGAAGCAGAGUCAUUCUGCAAAACACAAAAGCUAAUCAAGAAACCAGCAAAGAAAGGAAGUGUACUUAAUGGGAAAAUAUUUUGUUAUCCUAUUAAAUUUUCCCAGAAUUUGUAUCAAUCAAAUUAUAUAAAGACAUCAUUCAGGAGAUUUGUGUUGAGGGCAACAUGAUUGAUUGAAAGGUACUUCCAAAAAUGGAAUACAUUUACCUUGAUGGUUUCACGAUCCCACUCACAUCUUUUAGUAUCUUGACUACCCUUUUCUUAGAUGGUGAAAGCCUAAUCAGCCCAAGUAUUCCCUGUUCACGACAACAAAUAAACACAAUCAUAAUUCAUUCAUCUCUACAAAUUCCAACAGUCUACUGAAUUGAAGCAAACUUCUCCCAAAAACAUUAUCAGGAGAUUGAAGUCAUUCAUCACAAUUUGCUGAAAGGGAAAAUCAAGAAUCACCAUCGAAAACAGAAGAAGAAAAACAAAGGGACAAACAGAACAAACUACCUCUAUGAAGUUCAUGGUAAAAUUGAGCAGAGUAGGAAGUGCCCUGGUUCCAACAUAUGCGUCUCCUUCUAUUGAUAAAUGCUCAAACCGGACUUCGAUUUUUGGAAUCUCAACCCCAACCCUGUUGAGCAAACAGAUGUUACGUUCUAUAAAACUUUUCUGGUAACAAAUUCAACUGGGGCAAAGCAAGCAAAAAAACACAUGACCAACAGAGUGAACUUCAUGGGAAGAAAGAGAGAAGAGUGACCUAUCAGUCCUUUCCCUGAGCCUGAGAAGGAACUUCUCAUUAUCUUCUUCAACAACCUUAAGUAUACUCUCUAUGUGAUGCUUCCUCUCCUGCAUACCAAGAUUGGUGAAGUCAACUUCUUCAUGGACAACCUUCCCAUCAUCCAAAACUUGCUUAAGCAUCCCCUUCCUCAACCGCUCAAAGGUUGGAAGCCUUUCAAUGGCCGCCCACUUCAACUCUUCCUCAUCAUCCUCUUUCCUACUCUGAAAAGCAUCACCUUGUGCUGACAACGCCUCACGAAUACUCGCAGAAGCCCAACUUCGCCUAAUUCCAGUAUGCUAAACUUUUACGCCUGCUGCUCACGGACCUUGCUAGAUCAUCCCCAGCCAAUGCUGCAGCCAUUGUCACCCACCAAAACCCCUCAGAGUAAAGACUCCAAACCCCCCUUUAUAAUAACCCUAGAAAGCUCAGAUUCAACCGAUGAGCUCAAGAUGCUAGAGAAGGUGUGGAUGAAAUGGUGAGUAGAUGAGAUUGAUGGGCAUGGAGUGAUGUAGGAGGUGAUGGAGACUGGGAAGCGGUAGAGAAGUGGGCAUUACUGAGUGGGAGAGGAGAGUCUUUUAUGAAGUACAUGAAAAAUACUAUAUUUGAUCACUUGUGAGCUCAGGAGAGUUGAGAGUUGAGAGUUGCUAGUGAGAGUUUCAUGUAAAUGAUUGCAAAUCCUCUUGGUCUUAAUUAUGGCUGGCACUUGGCAGAUAAUUGAGAGAGGGUAACUGUGUUUCGGCGUUGCGGUGUUGGCUUAACAACCACAAUAAAAAUAAAUUAAAAUUAAUUAAAAUUUCAUCCACUAAGUAAAGGAUAGACAUAUGUUGUUAAAUACUACUUUAUCCUUCACUUAAAAAUGUAUAAAAAUAACAAAUAUUUUGAAAUCACAUCAUACCAUUUCAAAAAGAAAAAUUUGCCUUACAUGUAAAAUUUUUAGCAAAAAUAAAAACCAAAAUAGAAAAUUUGCCCCCUCUUAAACAAAAAUAUAAAUUUAAUUUAAAAAAAUUUAAAAAUAGAAAAUAAUGAUAACUAAAUAUUUUUACCAAAAAAACUAAUAUUUAUCAUUAAUUACUAAUAAUAUAUUCAGAUUGAACUAUAAUUUUUUUAAAAAAAUAUUCAUUAUAAAAUAUGUGAAUUUAUCGGAUUAAGAGAACUUGUAAAUAAUCAUAUAUGUUGAUGUAUAUUUAUUUAUAACUCCUUAUAAAAUAGAGAUACCUUUAAUGAAAAUUCACUUUGUUCUCUUCCAAUGUUCUAUUAUACUUUUCUUGAAGGAUUUAUGUUUAUUCUCUCUUCUAUUUUUUUUUUAGUCGUUUAUUUUAUAACACGUUAUCAACAUGAUGCUCUGAGUAUGUAGAAGAAAAAAAGAAGAAUGAUUGAGAUAGAAAAAAUAGAAGAUUUCAUCUACAAAAUUUCUUACAGGUAUAUAUUCUUAUUUUCUUCGAAUGAAAUAUGAAAAGUAGUAUACAUUGUAUUAUUAUUAUUAUUUACUUUAUCUCAUAGCCAGAAGCUAUGUGAAUCAUAUUUCAUAUAAUUAUAAAUAUUUUAAUUAUUUAAUAACUAGAAGAGAUAUAUAUAUAUAUAUAUAUAUAUAUAUAUAUAUAUAUAUAUAUAUAUAUAUAUAAUCAUAACUAGAAGUUAUGAAAAAAAAAAUAUAUGUGCAAUCCCUAUAAUAAGAAGUUAUGGGGUAAAUUAAAAAAACACAUUCAAAAGUCAUGUAUAUAAUCCCUAAUUAUCUAUUUUAAAUUAUACAAUAUAAUUAAAAGUUAUACCAAACAAUAUUAUAUAAUCAGAAGCUAUAAAAGUAAAUAGUUCAUAGCCUGAAGUUAUGUACAAAGCUACAUAAUGAAAUUCAUAGCCUGAAGUUAUUCACAAAUUUAUAUAAAACUAGUUCAUAUGGUUGUUUAAUUUGAUAUAUUUUUAUAAUUAAUAUUUAAAAUUAUUUAAUUUUUUUAAUAAUAAUAUAAAAUACUAUGAAUUACCUUACAAUUUAUAAAUGAUAACUGUAACAUUUUUCUUCCAUCCCUUCUAACAAAAGUCUCUGGCUCCGCCAUUGGUUCACGAGUCUCGCUAUUUCUAUCUAACUUGCAUCUCAUUAUUUUGUAUUUUAAUUUUAUUAUUUAUACUGGAGUUUCAUAUAUUUCUAUCAUUAUCCAACCACCUAAAUUUUAGUAUAUACUUGGAAUAAAUUAAAGGGAGAAUUAUGUUUUGGACCCAGUUGGGUACAAAAAUUAAUCUUUGGUCCACAUAAGUUGCAUAAUUGAUGGGAAUGAUAUAAAAUUAUUAAGAGACUAAUAUACCCUUUAAAUUUCCAACUCAAAUGCUUUGAAAUUAAUGGGUUUCAUACAUGGUAAACUAAAAAUGGCAUGUCACCUUUCUUAAAAAUCUAACUUUAAAAUCCUGCUUGUUGGGUCUAUUGUCCAGAGAAAAGAAAUGGGUAUGGUUCAUGGAGAGAGAUAGUAAGCUUCGGGGAAAAAGAUUCUCUGAUGAUAAUGCAAUUUCUCCAUAAUAGCUAUCAUACGGAUCAAACAUAUCUUGAAAGUAAAUAAAAUGGUUGUCAUGAUUGUGAGGUUGGUCCACCACACGAAACGGAGAAAAUGAAGAACUCCGAUGAAGAUCUAAAGCAUCUUCAGCUAUGGUCGUCAUGAUGGCAGUGGCCUAGCAACCUCCUGUGAAGAUGAAAAUAUGCUAAAUAGGGUAUAUGCCCUUUUGAAGUAGAAUUGUGGGGUAAGUAUAUUUUCUAUAAUUCAAACCUAAGUUUGUAGAGGAUUGAGUGUGUUUUGAUUAGGUUUAGGGAUGAAUUGUGACAUUCAUAUUUGUGACAUUUAUUCUGCUAUGAUCCAGAGCACAACCCCAUUAAUUGUAUGAUUGAAACUCCUUUAUGUUUGAGUAGAAGAUUAAUAAUAUGAUUACUAGUAGUUGGGGAACAAAUUGAUACUUCAUUUUUUUCCUUAUGUUAUAAACCAAAACAUUACAAAUAUGGUUAACCUAAGUAUGAGCAGACAUUCAGUAGUAGUUGUUUGGAAUUUCUUCCUUUGUACAAGACGUUUACACGAAGUGUAUAAGGUAAAUAUGUUAACUAUACAAGGGUGUACAAAGGUACUAUGGACCCGCAUUUUUCACAUGUACUCCCACUCGAUCGGCAAGACUCGCUUUUAUUUUUUUGUGAAAAAUUUAACUUUGGAAAAGUCGAAGUCGUUACUUAUUUUAUUUUAUUAAAAGGGAAAAUAAAAUAAGAAAGAAAACCCUAAAGAAGUGACUCCAUAGUUUUUGGAAAAAUAUGUCUUUGAAAAACCUGAAUCUAGGUCCGGGGAUUAGGUUACCUAUUGGGAAGGUACCUCUAAAAGGUUUUAAUUACUGACUAAGUUGAGGGGAAUAAGACAAUUAAUUGAUUGAUUGAGGGUACCUAGGUAGACUGAGGUGAUUUAAAAAAAUAGCAUGCUAAACAAGAAAAGUCAAAUCAUGAUCAUAAAAGAGAUUUAGGGUGCAUACCUGGAUUGCUUCUCAAACGCUAUCACAAGACAUCAAAGUUAGUUCGAAUAGUAUAUCAUCCAACAUGCGCUUUAUCAGAAAUAAUAGAACAAUGAAACAUAUAUAUCAAGACAUCCAAGCAAUAUCAAAUAUAGGUGGAGUUCAUAGUGACAAGCAUAUUCACAGAAUUUAGAAGGUGGGUGUUAGGGGGCGUACCUAGAUAGCAUAAGUAACUUAUAAUGCGCUUCCACAAAACAUGAAGGGUUGGAUAAUAAAUAAUAAAAUAAAGAAAUCUUAGCAUGCUUAUCUAAUUAGUAUAGCAAAAAUGAUCAAAGUAUAUGAAAUAAUCAAUUAUUAUAUAAUUCCUAAAAAAUGUAUAAAUAGGAUUACAACAAGUGGAAAAUGUGGCAACAAAGAUGAGUUUUGAAAAACGAAAAGAUUUUAUGUAGGGGUUUCACCAAUUCCCCAAUUAAUAUACACAAAUCUAGCUUAGAAUCAUCCCAUUUAUUUGGGACCACAAGCUUUGAUUUGUAUUUUGUUCAAAACCAAAAUUUUCAUUGAAAAUCGAGAAAGAUGCGAACCGAUCAAAAGAUGGUUGCAUAUUAUUUAAGAAAAUGAGAUUUUGAUUCUAAGGACUCUAAAUGAGUUUUUGAAAUAGAUUUUUAAAGGGAUCUUUUGAGAAAAGUGUUAUAUUUUAAAAUAAGAUAAAUUAAUUUGAAAACAAUAAAACGUAUGAGAAACAGAAUACCAAGCAAAACAAACGGAAACAAAAUUACGAAGUAAAAUUUUUGGCAACCAAGAAAACUGAAAUGGUGUGAAUGGAGGCCAAUCAUCACUAUUUUCUGAUGGCCUCUGAAAAAUAAAAUUGACAAGAGACUACCAAAGUAAUAAACUAUUAAAACUUAGAUCAAAUAAGCUAACAUGAUACUCAUCGAGGAUUAAUGACUAAUUUUCAAGAAACAUGUCAAUUAAGAGUAACAAUCAAGAAUUAGCACGUGAUCAAUUAAACACACAAACGUAUCUAGACUGAUUAAAAAUGGACCAAAUUAAAUUAGGGCAAACAUGAAUUUUCAAUUAUAGAAUUAAUUUUAUUAGUGAGCUAAUAGUAUGGAAAAUACCUAAACUAAAUAGAUGAGUGAAGCUAAAUCAGAGUAAACUAAACACAGACACCUUCUAAUAUGGAAUUGAUUUUAUUAAUAACUUAAAAUUAUAAAAAAAAAACACCUAAAAUAAUUAAAAUGAAUCAAAUGAAAUGAAAGCAAGCUAAAACAAAAUAUGAAUUCAUGGAAUCGGGUUCCUAAAUAAAUUUACAUUAUUAAAAUGAAAUCUAAGCUCAAAAUGAAUUAAACACUAAUUAAAGAAAAUUUAAAAAUCAAAUAUUUAACACAUAAGAUCAAUUAUUUUAACCAAAUAAAACUUUACUUAAACCAAAAAUUAAAUUAUAAAAAUAUCCAAAAGAAAUUUUAAAACUAAAUUUCUAACCUAUAAAAUCAAUCUCAUUAACAAAUGGAUAAGUAGACAACACAUAAAUAAAUAAAUAUGACUAAAACGAAAUAUGAACUCAUGGAAUUAAUUUUUUUAAAUAAACUUACAUUACUAAAAUGAAAUCUAAACUUAAAAAUGUUUUUAACACCAAUUAUGGUAAUCCUAAAAUCUAAUAUUUAACACAUAAUAUUAACUAUUUUAAAGAACAAAAAUUUCACUUAAACCCAAAAUUAAAUUGAAAACUAUCCAAAACAAAUUUUAAAACUAAAUUUCUAACCUAUAAAAUUAAUCUUAUUAAUAAAUAAAUAAAUAGGUAAUGCGUGAAUAAAUAAAUAUAGCUAAAACAAAAUAUGAACUCAUGGAAUUAAUUUUUUUAAAUAAAUUUACAUUACUAAAAUAAAAUCUAAGCUUAACAAACGUUUUUAACACUAAUUAAGACAAGUCUAAAAUCUAAUAUUUAACACACAAAAAUCAAUCAUUUCGAAAAACUAAAAUUUACUUAAACCUAAAGUUGAAUCAAACUACCCAAAGCAAAUUUUUUUGACACUGAAUCUUUAACCCAUAGGAUCAAUCUUAUUAAUAAAUAAAUAAAUAACGAAUCAUUAAAUUAGUAGCAAAUAAAUAAAUAAAUAAUGAAUAAUUAAAUGAAUCAAAACCAAAUUAAACAAAGAUCAAAUUAUAUGUAUUUUUUUUCAAGGUUAAAAUUAUAUAAAAUUGUAUUUUCUAAAUUUAAUAUGAUAAAUCAAAACUAACUUUAAACACAAUUCUAAUCCUUAUGUAAUCAAUCAAAAUUAAAUAAGAGUGAGAUUCAUGCUGCCAUAAUAAGACACGUAUAUACUAAAGCUAAUAAAAUAAGUCAAGCCACUCAACCCAAUAUAGUAAUCCAACUUGAAAUAAACUAAACUUUGAAAACCCAUAUGUAAAAAAAUAUCUUACCUAACCGGCUGUGAUGAUGCCAAAGCAACUUGGUGGUGUGCGGCUGGUGUAGUGAAAAACGAGUAGAUGAUCAACCUAGCUAGUUGUGAUGCUCCCAAGGCAAACUGAUGGUGUGCGGCCGACGCGGUGAAGGACAAGUAGAGGAUCAACCUAGCCGGCUGUGGUGCUUCCAAGCAACCCGAAUGUGAGCGGCAUGAUUAGAGGUGGUGUGCUAGUGCAGGUCUCCAAUGGCGAUGGUACGUCAUUCUUUCAGAGAUAGAGAUGAUGUCGCAUGUGGACUGUGCUAGGCUGCAAGCAUCAAAGAUCACUCGUGACCUAUGUUUCGUCGCCCAAAACUCCUUUGAGACACUCCGACAUCGGUUUUCAUUAUGUCUUUGGCAGUCAUUCGCUAUAAUUUUCGAAUCAGAUUACACGAUGAAUGUAUGGGACCAUCCGCGUUGAGAAGAGAUGAGAAUGGAAUUUCAGUCUACUAUCUAUGGACUGAUCUCAAUGAGAAGUGGGUGGUUGGCGGGACUUCAAUGGUGCGGUUGAGUUGGAACCUUCCUCUCAUCCAAUGGUGCAGCUGCCCAUUUGCUCAUCCCAAUUCAAUAAGGAAGGUAUAUACUCUUCUUUUCCAUCACGGGGUGAAUAGCCGGUGAAUAUCAACAAGCAGUUGAGUAUGUGGGUUCCAAAACAACAGUCUGAAUCUCUUUUGAAACCUGGACCGAUUCUCUCUCAAAUAGCAGCCCCAAAUGCCCUUUUUCAAACAUGGACUGAUUUCUCAACUUGAAAAUGACAGCCUAACUUCCCAAAAUAAUCCUUCUGAAUCACCCUUUAACUCUCUUUCUCCAGAAUGAUGCCACUACCGCCCUUCAAUCGUGCGUCCUUUUUUUUUUUUUUUCCUUUAAUAUUUUCUCAAUCACUUUUUUAGACCCCCCUCCAUCCACGGUGAUGGAAGACACAACAGGAAAGGUCUUUUUUCCCACUUUCGGAUCACCCCCAAUUCCUUCCAAUCAUUCAUUUUUUUUUUCUUUUGUCUUUCAUUUUCUCUCUUCCUCUCACUCCAAUCUCCCAGCUGUCUCCAUCUUUCCUCUUAAUGGUGUCUUUCCUUUUCUUUUUAUAGAGAACGUGGGAUCCAUGCAAACAUAAUAAUAAAAAAUAAAAUAAAAAUAAAAAUAAAAGAAAACUAAGGGUUAGAAUAAUAUAAAAAAAAAACAUGCAACUAAGAAUUAAAAAUCCAAAAUAUGUAAUUUUAAACGAAAUUAAAAAAAUAUAAAUCACAUGCAUAACUUAAAAUGAAUUAUCAACUCAAACAACUCUCUAUCAAAAUAAAUUAAUAAAUAGAUAAAUAAACACGAAAUGAAUAUGAUUAUUAAGCUCAUGCAAUUUUCUAAAAAUAAGUAAAUAAAUGAAUAAAACUAAUAAAUAGAGAGAAAUAAUAAAAAAAAAAAAUCAAGCACAUGCAAGCCAUAUGAGCUAUGCAACCAUGCAAACCAUGCAUUCAUGCAAAAAAAAUGAUCUAGGGUGCCUAAGUGGGUCUAGGGUGCCUAAAUGGGACUAGGGUGCCUAAGUAGGUGUAAGGUGGUGCCUAAUGGGCCAAGUGUGUCUAAAUGAGCCUAGGGUGCCUAAGGGAGCCUAAUGUCAUGAACUUAGUCGUUUCCUAAGCUCGUGCGACACUUAGAUAAGUCAAGACGCUUGAUCUUGCUAAGUCAACCUUACUUCCAACGCUUAGCUUGCUAGGCAAAGAUGCUCACGACUCGGAAGCUUGAGAAGGCGUAAUAGGGGACUCUUAAAGAAUAGAAGCUUUAUUGCUUUCAAAUGAAGCUAUACAAUGCUUAGAAGCUCAUUUGCUUGGUUAAGAAGUGAUUUGGGUAGUUUUUGGGUGGUUUUUGGAUGGUCUUGGGGUGGUACCUUGGCCAAAUGAGGUCCCCUCCUAUUUAUAGGCACCAAUGAAACUCUCUGGAACCUUGGAGGGUUCCUUACAAAUCAAGAAGAUUCUAGAAUACCCUACAUAAUUCUAUGUACAAGAAUAUAUAGGAGAUUCCUAGAAUUCUCUAGAAAGCCUUAAACUCCUCUCAUGCCUUCCACCAUAGUGUAGAGAUGUGUGGACAUCUCUAGGCAUCUCUAGAACCUUCCACACUCUUCCCACUAAUGGCUAAGUGUAUAUGGCUCUAGGAGUCUCUAGAAGCAUCCUGGACUCCAUAUAAGCCCAUGGAGAGGCUCAUUUGAAGCAUCCUAUGACACUAAGGUGCCUAAGUGAGACUAAGGUGAUGCCUAAUGGGCCAAGUGUGCCUAAAUGGGCCUAAGGUGCCUAAAUGAGUCUAAGAUGCCUAAAUGAGCCCAAGGUGAUGCCUAAUGGGCCAUGUGCUUAAAUGGACCUUAGGUGCCUAAAUGAGGAUAAGGUGCCUAAAUGAUCCUAAGUUUAAAUAGGGCUGCCAAGAGUCAUAAUGGGGUUAGAUAAAUCCCUCAACCAAAGUCCCCAAGAUGGCUUAGAAAAGAUAGGCUACACGAAUAGUAAUGGGCCACUAGAGAAUUGCUGUAAAGUAUCAGACAAUUACUUAAUAGGACAUGUGCUAGGAGGACAAAAUUGAGGGUCAACAUGUACUUAUGUUGAAUGAUUUCAAAUCUUUUUAAAAUCAUUUCCAUUUUGUAAGGAUGAAGGACAUUCCUCACACACAUUCCUUGAUCAUGCACUCAUCGUAUUCAAUUUUAUUACUUUAUACAUGUUCAUUGGAUGACCUAUCGCACUAAUGAUGAAUAGGGACCUAUAUUAGGUUUCAUUUCCCCAAUUUCCCUUAGGCAUCACAUUGGAACAUGUUUAGCCCACCCAUAUGCACGCGUUCAGUUGUAGCUAUGUCAAAUUUUUACCACUAUACAAGGCAUUUACACUAAGUGUACAAGACAAAUGUGUUUACUGUACAAGGGUGUACAAGGGUACCUAUAUUGAAGGAUUUCAAUUCCUUUUGAAAAACUAGAUUUCUCAUCUUCCUUUUCUAAGGAUGGGGAAUAUUCCUCAUAAACAUUCCUCAUUUCCCUUCAUACACAUUCAUUGGAUGAGCUACUGUACUAAUGAUGAAUAGGAACCUAAAUUGGGUUUCAUUUUCCCUUUUUUUCGCUCAGCCAUGGCAUUGGAAUAAGGUUAACCCACCCAUAUGCACUCGUUCAGUUGUAGCUAUGUCGAAUUUAUGCCACUAUACAAGGCAUUUACACAAAGUGUCUAAGGCAAAUGUACUAACUGUACAAGAGUGUCUAUCUUAAGGGAUUUCAAAUGAUUUUGAAGAACUUACUCAUUUACUUUUUCCAAUCUUGGGGGACAUUCUUCUCACACAUUGCUUGACCACAUGCUCAUCACAUGCAUUUUAUUUGAUGUCCACCAUGUUCAUUCAUUCUAUUAGCUCAUCUACUAAUCAUGAAUAUGAACUGAAAUUAAGGUCAACUUUUUCCUCAUUUUCCCUAAUCCAUGAGAAUGGAAACAUUGUUUACCCACCCAUAUGCACUCGUUCAAUUGUACCUAUGUGAAAUUUCUACCAUUGUACAAGGCAUUUACACUAAGUGUAUAAAGCAAAUGUGCUAAUUGUACAAGGGUGUACAAGGUUGCCUAUCUUGAAGGAUUUCAAAUGAUUUUGAAGAACUCACACACUGAUUUGCAAUGAAUAAAAUAACCUUUGGGCCAUAUAAGUUGCAUAAUAAAGAGAGAUGAUAUAAAAUAUCAAGAGACAAAUAUACCCUUCAAAUUUUCAUAUCAGAUGUUUGUAAAAUUUGGGUUUCAUGCAUAGUCAACUGAAGUUUCCAUGUCAAAUCCCUUUAAAAUGUGUACAUGGCUAUGACCUAGGUCUAUUGUCCAAUAAAAUAAAUCCAGAGAGAGGAUUUGGGUAUGGUUCAUGGAGAAAGAUGAUGAACUUUGGCGAAAAAGACUGUGUGAAGAUCAGGCAAUUCCUUCACAAUUCCUUUGGGUCAAAUGGAUCUCAAAAGCAAGAAUUCUCUUAAGAUCUAAAGUAGUUGUAGCACUGGUAGUAGGGUAUAUGCCCAGUGAACUCCUUUGAACAUGAAAAUAUGCUCCACCUAUUGAAGUGGUUUUCGAGUUAGUACAAUUUCUGGAAUUGGAACCCAGGUUUGUGGAGGAUUGAGGGUGUUUUUAUUAGGUUUAGGGAUGAAUAGUCACAUCCAUAUUUGUCAAACUUCUUUAUGUUUGAGACCCCAUUAAUUGUAUUAUUGAAACUCCUUCAUGUUUGAGUAGAAGAAUAAUAAUAGGGAAAAUUAUUUUUGAAUACCAAAUGUUGUGCAUGUAGAAAGUCGGUAGAAGGGUUUUUCUUUUGCAUCAUUCACUGAUCUAUUUGUAUGAUUAUUAUGUAAGAAUCAUAGACUAGUAGUUGUUUUUGAAUAAUAUGAUGACUAGUAGUUGUUUUUGAAUAAUAUGAUGACUAGUAGUUGUUUUUGAAUAAUAUGAUGACUAGUAGUUGGGAAACAAAUUUAGACUUUAGUUUUUCCCCAUUCUAAGGUUGAGAGUCCAUGUAGUAUAGUAGCUUUGUGAAUCAUGACAAUUGAUAGCCUUGCAUCAUCAUUCACUGUAGGUCUUGUCCAAUGUGCAUCACAUGUGCUAAUACACUCACCAUGAGAAACUCAUCCCGACGGUCAAGACAAGUCAUCCCUCCAAUUAGGAGGUGUUACACUACAGUCUCUACUGGAUUACCCAAAUCCAUGAACCAAUAAUGGACAACUUAUCUACUUACAAGGAACCCAUGAAUUGUAUCUUCUAUGCAACCCCUAAUGAACUCAAAUCAUGUACAAUGUAAGAGAUAGAUUGAAUGCUCAAAUCAAUGUCAAUACAACAUGAAUUGUUACAUCAUGUCUUGCUUUUAGGAGGUCAAUCCCAACAAGUACUAUCUUCAUGCACUAUUUCUCCUUAAGUAUCUUAGGACACUUAUCUUAAGAGAACAGAACUUUAUGUCUAAAGGGUAGAAAACCCUUUUUGGAAUCCUACAUAGCAUACUUGACUCAAGUGGGUUGAGAUAGUGCAAGCUUCCUAUUCUUACAAUCUCCUAAGACCUUAAUCCUAGGAAUAGACUAUGCUUCUCUAGAUCUUUCAUCUGAAACUGAGUAGACAACUAGAUCUUGAUUGAUGAUAAUAACCUUAUAUCAUUCCUAAUGAGUAAAAUAUUAUCAGCAUAUAGGAUCAUGAAGACCAUCAUGCUUCCCUACACGUUCUUGUACACACAACGUUCAUUUUCAUUUUGAUCAAAAUCAAAGGUUUUGACCAACUAAUCAAAAUGCUUGUACUAUGAGAGAGAUACUUGCUUUAAUCCACAAAUGGAUUUAUGCAACUUGCACACCAAACACUCUUGGCUUUUACUAUGAAACCAUAUAGUUGCAUCAUUUAAAUGGUCUCACUAAGAUAGUCAUUUAAGAAUGCUUUCUUGAGAUCUAUUUAUCUAUCUCACAAUUGAGAUGUGUUGUAUUAGAUAAGAGUAUUCUCAUGGAUUUGAGAAUGGCUGCCAGUAAAAAAGUCUCUUUAUAGUCGAAACCAAAUUUCUGGCUAUAAUUCUAACCUUCUAUGUUUCAACCUUUCCAUCUACUCCUCUCUUCCUCUAGUAAACCCGCUUGCACCAUAUAGCUUUUAUCCAUUUAAGUGCUUCUACAAGCUUCUAGACUAUGUUAGAAUGCAUGGAUUCUAACUGCAUCCAUAGCUCCUAGCCAAAAAGAUGCAUCAACAUUGCUUAUUACUUCAUCAUAAUCUAUGGGAUAGAUCUCAUGUUCUUAAGGAAUUAUCUCAAAAGACUCUUCCUAAUACAUUAAUAGAUCAAGUUAUACAAAACCCCUACUAUGACGAAACAUUAGUAUACUAAAAAUGUUAGAAGUGGUAGGUACUAGAUCCAUAGUAUUUUGUGCUAUUGUGGGAGUGUAAUCUAAUACUCUUCAAUCAAUAUUACUGCUAAACUUAUUACUUAUCAUAUAGUCUUCUUUCAGAAAUCUAGCAUUUGUACUUACAAAUACUUUUUGAUCAAUUUGAGUGGAAAAGUAAUAGUCUGUCUACCCAAUUCUUCCUUGGAGGAGAUUAGCAAUAACACCAUGGAAUUGACCAAGGAUUUGGUCCAUUCAAAUCUCUCUCUUCAACUCACUCAACCAUGAAAGGCUCUAGGUUAUCUUGGGAAACUUCUACCAGAAGAUUUUUUUAAUCAAUUAAGAAAUUUAUAGUGGUGUUUGGGAUUUGAAAACAGAUGCAUUAUAGAGAGUGAAAAUAGUGAGAACUGAUUUUAGUUAACUUGGAUCAACACACUUUAAUGUCCUGUUGUUUGCCUUCUUUGAGGAUCCUAUCUAUGAGAUUGUUGAACAGGGACAUGCUUCAGUCCCCCAUGGUUAGGAAGAUCUAAAUAUUUAUCAUGUUGGAAGAAUUCGGCGCUAAACCUUUUCAAAAGGAUGGCUCUAUCUUUUUUGGGGUUCUAGAAUCAAGGAGAAACAAAAUAUUAUUGAUUUAUUUCACUUUUUGGUAUAUAGAGAGUGGACAUACUUAUCAUUUUUAUCAAAAACAAUCUUUGAAUAGGCUGCCUAGAGAUUGUUGUGUUAAUCUGUCAAUUUAUGUAUUGUCGUCUUGCCUCUUAAGGUGUUGAUGUCAUUCAGCUACAAAGCUUUGACACCCCGCUUGGCCACAGAAUUUCCCCUAAUACCUGGGUCCUGUCGUGGAGUGUAUAUUUUAUUCAAGUUUUUUCUCUUUCAAAGAUGUUCAAUAAAUUAUUCUUAUUACCUAUUAAAAUAAUCUAAAUAAUAUUUCUCUUGUGAAAGCUCAAACAUUCUUAUUGUUCCUCCUCUUUCUCCUCUGUUCUAUGUCAGUAGAUUUGAUGUUAUGCAUUCGUGCCUCAGUUUAUCAUGCAUUUUAUUAGCAACUGAUUAUGUAUCUGAAUUUUUUCAGCAACUCCAAGGAUUUCAUUGAAUCAGAAAGAAGACCUCAUUAUCUGGCCACCACUUGUCAUCAUCCAUAACAUUUCUAUUUUGAACAGUGAAGGCUGAUGCCCUUAUACUUUCAUGGGGGUGAACCUCUUAGUAUCAAAUGCCCUGGUUGCUUCCUUCAAGUCUUCUCACCAUUACAAAUCUAUAGUGCCCUUGCUAUGAUUUGAUGACUAUUUCAUUCUUAUUCCCUAGUCUCAAUAUUUUCCUUUCCUUCUUUUAUAUAAACCCAGGGCUAUCCAUCUCAAUUCUUUCUCUGAAAAUUGAGAUCAUAUAGGCUAAGUUUUAGCAUAUUAGGUUGGGUUGGAUUAUUGGCAAAGUGAUAACCUCUUUAGAUUAAAAGGUUUGGGUUUGUUUAGAAACUAUUCAUGAAAAUUGUCUUUUGUUCUAUAAUAGAAAAUAGAUUUUUAACUGAAAACAGUUUUUUAAAAAUAUGUUUUGAAAACAGAUUGGUCUUUUUAAAUGUUUUGAGGUGUUUUUUGUGGAGUAUUUUGAGAAAUAAUUGAAUAUAUGAAGAAUGUUUUCGGAAGUUUUGUAUUGUAAAUAAGUGCAUUAUAUCUGAUAAAAAAAAUAUGAGUGCAUUAUAACUUCAUAGAAAAUAAGUCGAUAAAAUUAUUUUUCAUAUUUGAGUUCUUAAGUAGAAUUUUAUUUUUAAAAAUAAUUGAGAAAUGUUUUUAAGAAUUUUUAUUAAAAAUUGAUUUUUGAGAAUUGGUUUUGAAAACACUGCCAAAUGGGCUUUUUGUGUUUACAUCUAGCCUAGCUCAGCUUAACUGAGCUGGUGCCCUAAUGCUCACUCUGGAUUUGGCUUAAAUAAAUCGGUGACGUGCACGGUUAAUUGGUUUUGGAAGCUGGUGUUAUGUUAUUCUGAUGUACUGCCUUCUCUUUUUGGGGUCUUAAUGGCAGUUGAAGGUUUUGGCGGGGGAAAAUUCAAGAUGUGCCUCGAUAGGCCUGCAGACCAUAGUGUUAUGGUGGUGAAGUUCUAGGGUACGUUUUCUGGACUGGAAGAUGCAGGAAGGCUUCAUGGGUAUUAUGCUGAGAAAAAUCAUGGAAGAGCAGAUCUUGAGAAAAUAAAUUACGACAAUGGCAAAAGCAGCAACAGUAGGGAAGCAGGAAUGCAACAAGACAAACCAGAGGAGGUUGUUCUAUAUGGGUACAUGGGAAUUGCAGAGGACUUGGACAAACUUGAUUUUGACACCAAGAGAAGUGUUUGAUUCAAAGCAAGCAGGAGAUCCAGGAGCUUGCAGAUGCCCCUGCUAAACCUGAUUAGAAGUAACUGUUCAGAUCCGUAAAUUAAAGAUAGAAUAAUCUUCUCUCCAAACCUAUGUCAGUUAUGUAAACAGAGCGGUUAUGUAACACUUCCUCGUCAGCUCUUUAUGAAUUCCCAUAAAACUAAAUUCAAAGUUUGCUAGUGGUGGACAGCUGCUGUUUGGGGGCACUUGGGUUUCCCUCUUUCUAAUGCAAUUUUCAGAUUGUUUUAACAUCUUUCUCGGAAUCAAUCUUACUUCUCGGAAAUUGGAUUAUGAUUGAAUGCCUUUUUAAGUCAGAAUUUCAAUUACCGACCCUCAAUAGAUCAAUUUCAAACUCAAGUCCCUGGGGCAGAGCAGGGUGCUGGGCUUGCCCGAUCGGAGUGCACCGAGAGCCCUCUGAUCCUUGUCCGCACAAUUCAUCGAGAUUUACCCUAUCUUGCUUCGAUUCCUCACUCCCUCCCAAAUCAACUACUCCCUUUCUUGGCACAACUCCGUUGGUCAAAACCAUUAAUAUUCAACCUACCAUUCAUUGACCAACUCCUCCUUUCAUUGGCACAACUCCAGUGAUCAAACUAUUAGUAUUCAACCUACCAUUCAUUAAGGGUCUCGAGUAGAAUAUGGCCCAUCCGAAGGUCUCCUUUCACAAAAUCUUAUUUUAUGUUUUUUUCUAAAGGAAGGAAUGGGAUUUUAACUAGAAGAUGGGUCCCCUAUAUCAGUACUGACAUUACCCAUUUGACAAAAAGAAAAGGGAUAUCAUCUCUAGGUACCCAAGAAUUUUACAAAUUACAAAGAAACAAUCAUUUUCUGAGACUUUCCUUUACCUCCUUUGGAAGUUAAUGAACUUAAUGCCAUAGGCAAAGACAAACAAGAAGAGGAGGACCCAACCAAUAUGAGCCAAGGCAACCGCUCUCAGGAAAUCAUAUUCAAAGCCUAAAGCCUCCUUAAGAUACUGCUUCACUGACAUGUCAUCUGCUCCAGGUACUUGAACCGGAUCCUCCUUGUCACCCACCUGAGAUGUCACCAGUCCAUAGAUGGUCCAAGCAACAGGGGAAGCCCAGUAGUACCACCUCCACCAUAUUGGUAUUUGCUGUAGAUGUACAGUUUGUUAGAAUUCAGUAUUUCUUCUACAAAUACAAACUCAAAUUCUUCGUAGGUAUACGCACCGUCCUAGGGAUGAGAAAACCAGAGAAGAGAUUCCAAAAGCUUAGGAAGAAGGACAUAAGAAUGGCAGCAAUUUGAUGGUUGGGAGUGAGCGCUACAAUCAUCAUUCCAUACAAUGUGAAGUAAAUAAAGCACAUGAGUAGGUAGUAGUAGAACCAUAAGAACUUGUCCACUCGCCAGUAGAAUCCUAUCAUAGAGUAGAGGAGAAGAGUGUAAACAAAAGUUUGGAUUGUGAUGUAAAUUGCCUCUAUGGCCACCUGCAGGGCAUCCAAAUACAAGAUUAGUUUAAAAUUAAGCUCUACUAGAAAUGUGUGUCUGUUUCUCAUCUGUUUUCUCAAAAGGCAACCUGGGCAAAUGCAUAAGGCAAAGCUGAAUACAUCCCAGCUGCCCUUUCGCGGUAGAAGACUGUUCUCUCAAUUGCCACAAUAGGCUGCACUGAAGCAGCGUUGGUGGCUCCAAGGAAGAAGACAGCUGCAAACAUAGCUCCCAGCAGAUUUAUUAGGUCUUGUUCUUUGUCUCUGCAUACAGUAGUUGGGGUGUUGGUUCACAUUUUUCCUUAAUUAUUAAUGGAGGAACACCAAAAUAAUAAAUUUGCAAUACUUACGUCUGCUCUCCUUCGUUCCAGAAAAUUAAUCCAAAUAGAACACCAAUAAUUAUGGUCAAGAAGAACCGGAGAGCAUUAUAGGGAGGAUUCCUCCAAUAAGACCAGUGCUGUUUCCAGAAGCAAGCCUUGCAUUGAGUAAUAAAGCUUUGAGAGUAUUUGGUGGGGAAAUAAAGGUCUUUGGAUCCUGGUGAUGGUGUGCUCAGCUCUUUGAUGAAUUCCUGAUUCCUCCUGCAACAAAAGGGGGAGUGUAAUAAGUCAUUGGAAAAAGAAUUGAGACAGAAAGAUGAUGUUCCAGGGAAUCAUAAUCCACUUACUGAUAGAGUUCAGAUUUAGCAUAAAUUUCUGCAAAAUCCACACCAAGUUGAGCCUCAACUGCAGCAGAGCUGAUCUCCAGCAUCCAUGUAGCAGGAUUUUGACCAUCUCUGACUUUAGGAACGCCCGGGACAGCCUGCAGCAAGUUAUGGAUUUGAUCAUGACACACUCCUAUAAGUAUAACAAUGGAGAUGGAGCAAGUUCACAGAAGAUGAAUAAUGCUCACUUCAAAGUACUCUACAAGCUUGUGAGAAUUGCGACCAAGAGGUCCAGCAUAAAUGAUUUGUCCUCCUCUCUUCAUCAGCAGUAGCUGCAGGCAAAAAUGAUGUUGGGUUGAAGAAAGGAAUGGUGACUCCAUGAUAAUCAUACCACUAACAAGUAUUAGAUACAAAACCAUGAAACUAAGAAAUACCUCAUCAAAAGCUUCAAAGAUGUCUAUGCUUGGCUGGUGAAUGGUGCAGACAACAGUCCGCCCUGUAUCCACCGUGUUUCUAACUGUACGCAUAACAACUGCAGCUGCUCUAGCAUCAAGGCCUGUCGUUGGUUCAUCCAUGAAGAUGAUGGAGGGGUUAGCAACCAAUUCUACAGCUACUGUCAGCCUCUUCCUCUGUUCUGUUGAAAGCCCAUCUAUUCCCGGAAGGCCAACCAAAGCAUUCCUCAGGGGGUGAAGCUCAACCAAAUCCAUUACUUCCUCAACAAACACCUAUAACACAGAAGGAACAAAAAAAAACACAACUGAUGUAUAUAGCUUGUAAGAGGGUGAACUAAAAGAAAAAUCAUUCAUUUGACAAAAGGACAUGCCUGCCUUGUUUCCUUUUUGACAUCCGGAGCAAGGCGCAGCCAGGCAGAGUAAACAAGAGAUUCAUAAACAGUUACAUUUGGAGAAUGUAUAUCAGUCUGCUCACAGUAACCACUAAUACGAGCAAAAGUUGCUUGGUUUUUGGGGUAACCAGAAAUGCUGAUACUUCCUUCAAUGUACCCACUAGUUUUCCUUCCUGCUAACACAUCCAUCAAAGUGGUCUUUCCAGCACCACUAACACCAACUAAUGCCAUUAGAAUACCUGGCCUGAAAGCACCGCUAGCAUCCCGCAGCAGUUGGAGAUGAUCCGCUUCAUUUCCUUGGCUCUUCAUUCCCUGUGAUUGAAUCCAUAAAAAAGUUUCAAAGCUCUAGACCAAGAUCAUAUCCUAACCUAUAUAUUAGUCUCACUUGUGUGUCUAAGUACUCAAAACAAGUUACUUACAGCAGGCAUAUCAACAUAGUAAUUCACAUGCUCAAAUGCAAGCGAUAAGGGCUGGAAGGGCAACACCAUUCCCCUUUUAGUAAGUGCAUGAUUUGCAUCUUUGACAACUGCUUUGGUGUUUUCUCUAGUGUUCCUUACUUCCAUAUCAAUACCUGUUACCAUAGACCUAACAUCAGCUACCAGAUAAAGAAAAUCUGAUGUUUAUGUUAUUUGCAAUGUCUAGUAUCACUAGCCUCUUCAAGAAGUGAUCAAGAAGAAUUUUGUGAGGGUCAGGUAAAAAUCUGGUGUCUCCUAGAGAAGGAGAACCAAUAGCAAGAAGCAAGUAUUAUGCAAUAUAAUUUCCCAAGAGCAAGUUCAGAAAUUGUAGCAACAUAAUAGUUGAUGAAACAUUGUUAAUAGCAACAUCUUCUCCUCUCUGCAAAGGGAAAUUUGAUUUUAGGCUAUCAUGCUACUGGUUUUCGGCAUUGAUAAACCCCUCAGUUUAUUGAAAAUGAACACCAUAAGGUGGCAAUCAGAGGGGAGUUGAUUCAAAGGAAAAACUAGAUAUUGAAUGAUUGUUGAAUGGAAACUGUAUAUGGACCUAAUGCUUGGUUAAUAAAAUAUAUAGAAACGCUAGAAGACAAACAAACAACCAAAAACCAGAGGAGAUCAAAGUAAGUAAAAUCUUGAACCUUCAGACAUUGGGGCAGUAGAUGCUGAAUUUCUUUCUGGGGUGGUCAGAUCAUGCUGUUUGUUAGAGUAAAACUGCUUCUCACUCUUUUCUUCAUUUUCCUCAUCAAUAAUGACAGAUUUUGAGUCUCCCAGAGCUGCAUUUGAGUUUCAGAAAAUUGUCAAAACUAGAAUCUUAUUUAAAUAAUACCUAGUUCUGACUGAUGGAUGAUAAUUCCAUGACCAAAACCUUUGGAGGAAGGAAAAAGGAAAAUGAAGGUUAGUAUAAGCAAUAACUUACGGUCCAAAUAUGUCAGAGCUGCAAUGAAACAGAUAUUGAAGAGCAGAGAAAACCCCAGGAGUGCACCAACAGAAAUCCAAUACCAAUAGCCAUCCACAAACAUGCCUCUUGCCUUGAGAAGAGCUUUUCCAACUGUGGGUUCUGGAAUUCUUGUAUAGAUGUUGGGCUGUGCCAAAAACCGAGUAGUGUAUACAAAGACAGACCAAGUAAUGAAGGCAGAAAUGCCCAAGCUAAAACAAAGUGAGAACAACCAUUCAAAACCUCCUAAGAAACCUUACCGUGCUCCAUCUGUCAUCAAGAAAUUCAUUGAUGACAAGGGCAUUUUGUCCAUACAUCAUUGGAGAAGCAUAAUAUCCCCAUAUCAUCCAUGGUUUAAUAUCAUCUAAGGAAGAAGGAGAAAGAAAUGGUUUAUUACAUUAUCAAUCAUAAAAUACAAUCACAUAAAGAGUGCCCCUCUCCCUUUCCAUUUGAAAUAAGCCAUCAGUGUUACAAAAACGAUCAGCUCACUGCAUAGCAAAAAGACACAAAAUACUGACCUUUCGAUACAACGAAUCCACCCAGAACAGAAACCAAUAGCAAUGUAAAGGUGGCAAGAGUGUUGGCCACAAUCAGUGUUCUUCCAAGUGCUGCAAUGAAGCGGAAAAGAGAUAGGGCCAUCUGAUGCACGACAAAGAAUGCCAGCAAUUGACGGAAAAACCUGAGCAUUAUUCCAAGUCUUGGGUUGUCAUAGUUCCAUUUGUGAAAGCUAAAACACAAGUAAGGAAGAAUGAAGGUCCAUUCACAUACCUACUAGCAGCAGGGGCAUACCCAAUAGUGUAAUACGUGAGAAUGAUCCAUAUCCCUGACUCCAUCAGUGACAAGGGGAUCCUAAGGACCCAAAUUGGUAGUGCAAAAGCCCAUGCCGGGUAAAACAAGAAAUCCCUCUGCUUAAAAAACACUGGGAGCCUGAAAAUAGUCAAUGCAAGUUCUGCCAGUCCGUUAAACAUUACAUUUAUGAGACUAUAAAACAGAGCCCCAUAGAAUUUUACUCCAUCUUGCAGUUGGCCAUGCUUCAUUUCUGUUCUGAAGAACACUGUCAUGGCAAUUACUGACAUGAUUGUAAUCUGGGUUGUCUUGAAUAUGUAUAUAAAAGAGUUGCGCUUCAUUAAUAGCCACUCCCUGGCAAAGCAUGCCUUGAAGAGUUCCCAGUUGGAGAUUCCAUACUUUUCUGUCACCAAUGCUGCAGGAUGGGUUCUGCUCCUAUCGUAAGGGAUUCCAAAGUCGUCUGAAAGCUUCUGGCCAAUGUGGAAAGAGUUGAAAUGUUGCACAAACUCGGGCACCGAGAUAUAUCUGUAAGGUUCAUUCUUUCUGAACCAGUAUUGUUCUUGGUCCUUUCUGGAAGUCACCUCUUGCAAGAAGUCUGCAACUCCUUUUCUUUCCGGGCAUUUGAAGCCUAUGCUUUCAAAGAAUUCAAGGAUGUUUUCACGGGGACCUUGGUACACAAUUUGGCCCUCACAUAGUAAGAUAAUGCCAUCAAAAAGAUCAUAAGUUUCAGGUGCAGGUUGGAGAAGAGAGAUUAUCAUGGUUACUUCCAUGAUAUGAACCAUCUGCCUCAUAAACUUGACAACCUGAAAAGUGGUGGAACUGUCCAGACCAGUUGAUAUUUCAUCCAUGAAAAGAGCCUUUGCUGGUCCA
Molecule: long non-coding RNA, 38172 nt
Filed under: Vitis vinifera (wine grape)
Lineage: Eukaryota; Viridiplantae; Streptophyta; Magnoliopsida; Vitales; Vitaceae
Description: long non-coding RNA (VVIN_LNC004131)
Source: RNAcentral